GUCACCGCGUCGCCGCCCGCCAUGGGGAGCCGCCUGGGGGUCACCGCGUCACCGCCCGCCAUGGGGAGCCACCUGGGGGUCGCCGCCCGCCAUGGGGCCGCCAGGGCUGACCGCCCGCCAUGGGGAGCUGGCGCCCUCGCCAAGCGCAGAGGCGGCCAGUGGCCCGACGGCGUCGUCCAACACGGGCCAGCUGCGAGCGUAGAGAAGCAGGUAAGGCGGAGCAGCGGCCGGGGUUGAGCGCCGGUGAUCAUCGGUGGUGGACGGUGGGUGGCUCGCCGGGCAGAGGAGGCGCCAUCGCGAGGUCUGGAUAGACCUGCGCCAAUGGUUGCGUGAUGUGGCAAGGACCUGAUUGCUUUUUUAUAAACUUACAGGGAUCUGAUUGCUUUUUUAAAUUUAUGUGCAGGCCCACCCCUAACGGACAAACAAACGGUCAACAGUCAGAGCUCUUACAUGUGUGUCCGACCUGUCAUAAUCACGAUUAAUCGUAAAGCAUUUGACGAUUUGGGUUUUUUGAAACAACCGACCGCCCAUUUGGUAGUUAUUUGAGAAAAAUUUAAAACCGGUAGUUUUUUGGAACCCUAACCUGUAAAAUAGUAGUUUUAUGUUAUUUACUCAUCCAUCCGAGGCAUUAGGUAAGCAUCAAUCGAUGCUUUCGAGCUUAGCUUAACAUAACAUACUAUUUUGAUAUUUUCUGAUACGUGUUACCGAGCUAACCUGCAGGUAUAUACUGAGCAUUUUUGUGAUGUUGUUUGCUGUCAGGCUGUUGCUGAUGGUGGAGGAAUGCUGCCCAAAGGAUUGUCAUGCUUGAUUUCGACCGUACAAGGAAAUCAAUGGGAAUUAAUGUUGCAUCCAAAUCAGGAAGCAACACUUUACUUGGGAGCACUUGGCGUAGUGGUAAAGCUGCUGCCUUGUGACCAUGAGGUCACGGGUUCAACUCCUACAAAUAGCCUCUUGCAGAAAUGCAGGGAAUGAUUGCGUACUAAAGACCUAAAGUGGUCGGACUCUUUCCCGAACCCUGCGCAAACGGAAAGGGAGCCGUCGAAACCUUGCUGGAGAGGAGUAGCCAUAUUCAGCUGCAGGAUAGUUCAGUUGUGCCUUUAGAUGAGAAAUCAAGAAAAGUUAUUUUGGCAAGUCUCCAUGGAUUGUCAACAAAAGCGCCGUGCUGCCUCGGAUUUGUAUACAUGGAGGAUCUUACAGAAUUCACAACAUAUGAUGGAGAAUACCACCCUACUCACAAGCUUUUGCUGGAUCCAGCCAAUUAUGUGGCAAUUGAAGCCGACCUGAUAUUUGCUUGUCUGGCUGGCUUAAGGCUAUGCAAGAUCAUCCAAGGAAGAGGUCUUUGAUGAUGUGGAGGACCGCAUAGCUGCGGGCAUCCGUGUUAUGGUGAUAACAGGAGACAACAAAGAAACUACUGAGACGACAUGCCAUGAAAUUGGUGUAUUUUCACCUGAUGAAGACAUUAGCUUGAAGAGCUUUACAGGGAGGGGGUUCAUGGCACUUGAGGAUAAAAAGACACUUCUGCAAAAGAAAUGUGGCCUUCUGUUAUCUAGGGCAGAUCCUAGACACAAACAAAAGAUCAUUAGGCUAUUAAAAGAAGAGCGUGCAGUUAUUUCUAUGACUGGAGAUGGAGUAAAUGAUGGCCCUGCUCUAAAACUAGCUGGCAUUGGUAUAGCAAUGGGUAUUCCCGGCACUGUGUACAUUCUUACUCA
Molecule: RNA transcript, 1709 nt
Organism: Triticum dicoccoides
Lineage: Eukaryota; Viridiplantae; Streptophyta; Magnoliopsida; Poales; Poaceae
Exons: 4
Source: RefSeq, a predicted model, not a curated record